This is a long non-coding RNA of Drosophila pseudoobscura, 286 nucleotides long. RefSeq lists it as uncharacterized. Lineage: Eukaryota; Metazoa; Arthropoda; Insecta; Diptera; Drosophilidae. The transcript is spliced from 2 exons. The record is from RefSeq and is a predicted model, not a curated record.
CUCGUGCCUUUUGGGUUCUAAUGUUAGGACCCGCCAUAGAACAGCUUUUUGGUCGCUCAUGCAACAUCUUGGUAUUGUAUAGUCUUUGAUUGGAUGUAUUUAAAGUUACAGGGCUCAGAUGUGUCUAAGCAUGGUAUAAUACAUGAUUUGGGUCGCGCAAAGGAAAUCCUGUCUAGAAGCAAGGAAUUAAAUACCUCACUCGAAGCUCCUCGCUUAGAUAUGCCAGCUACCAAGCGAUUUAUUGCUGCUGGAAUGCAUACACGUUUUGUGGACAUGGGGGGCGUUA